GACGAACGCUGGCGGCGUGCCUAAUACAUGCAAGUCGAACGCAGUGGGGACGGGUGAGUAACACGUGGGUAACCUCCCAUCAGAGGGGAUAACACUUGGAAACAGGUGCUAAACCGAUACUGAUGGAUGGACCCGCGGUGCAUUAGCUAGUUGGUGAGGUAACGGCUCACCAAGGCCACGUUGAAUACCCGCCCUGAGAGGGGGAUGGGCCCCAAGGGGAAGGAGAAACGGCCCAUACUCGUACGGGAGGCAGCAGUAGGGAAUCUUCGGCAAUGGACGAGAGUCUGACCGAGCAACGGCGCGAGAGUGAAGAAGGUUUUCGGAUCGUAAAACUCUGUUGUUAGAGAAGCGGUAUCUAACCAGAAAGCCACGGCUAACUACGUGCCAGCAGCCGCGGUAAUUC
RNAcentral lists this ribosomal RNA (403 nucleotides) under uncultured bacterium. Its description in RNAcentral is "partial 16S ribosomal RNA". It matches the Rfam family "Bacterial small subunit ribosomal RNA", at positions 28 to 526 of the family's 1533-position model. The record is from RNAcentral.